GUUUUAUUAAUGUAUCCUACAGGUAAAGUAUUAAGGUUCGUACAAGCGCCCAUGGCCUGAGAUAGGUUUUUGUUUAGGGAAAGUACAAAAUGGAGGGAAUUCCAACUACCAUCCACAAAGUUGUCAGAAGUAAAUAAAAUAUUUUGGUAAUUGGUGCUUUCAAUAACAAUAAAAAUAAUUAAAAAUGAAAAUUGAAACUGCUUAAAUCUCAAUAAAAUCACAAUCAAUGUGAAACCAUCCUAUUAACAAUUUAAAUAUCAAAGUAAACAACUUGGCUUCCCAAAUAGCUUUGAAAUUG
This 298-nucleotide unclassified non-coding RNA is filed under the name Hevea brasiliensis (rubber tree). The record is from RNAcentral. Lineage: Eukaryota; Viridiplantae; Streptophyta; Magnoliopsida; Malpighiales; Euphorbiaceae.